RNAcentral lists this transfer RNA (87 nucleotides) under Lobosphaera incisa. RNAcentral's name for it is "tRNA-Ser". It matches the Rfam family "tRNA". From Rfam's summary of the family: Transfer RNA (tRNA) molecules are approximately 80 nucleotides in length. Lineage: Eukaryota; Viridiplantae; Chlorophyta; Trebouxiophyceae; Trebouxiales; Trebouxiaceae. The record is from RNAcentral.
GGAGUGGUGUCUGAGUGGUCUAAAGAGCUCGAUUGCUAAUCGAGUGUGUAAGAAAUUACACCGAGGGUUCGAAUCCCUCCCAUUCCG